RNAcentral lists this small RNA (579 nucleotides) under Pan troglodytes (chimpanzee). RNAcentral describes it as "retained intron". Lineage: Eukaryota; Metazoa; Chordata; Mammalia; Primates; Hominidae. The record is from RNAcentral.
GAAAAGUAAAUUAUUAGGGUUGUCCAAUCAGCCUUUACAACCAGAGCUUAACAAAAGUGAUACUAGCAUAAUGCUAAAGUGGCAGGUGCUGUCUAGGACAAGUUAAAGGAAAUGUUGACAUUCAUCUUGAUUUCCUAAACUUUAAAUAAAACAUAAUUUAUAUAUUUACUUUGUAAAUCUGUGAUGGUUGACUUUCAAGGAUUUUGGAAGUAUUGACUUUUCAUGCCUUGGUUUAUUACUAUUUUUUUGUUAAUGAUUUUAAAUAAAUUGCCUUAAAUAGCUCUUUUUUCUUUUCUUUUCCCUUAGGUCACAGGGAUUAUGGACCCAGAACAGAUGCUGAUUCAGAAUCUGAUAAUUCAGAUAACAACACAAUCUUUGUGCAAGGACUUGGGGAGGGUGUGUCUACAGAUCAAGUUGGGGAGUUCUUUAAACAAAUAGGAAUUAUCAAGACAAAUAAGAAGACCGGAAAACCAAUGAUAAAUCUUUAUACAGACAAGGACACAGGAAAGCCAAAGGGGGAGGCAACAGUGUCAUUUGAUGACCCUCCUUCAGCUAAGGCAGCCAUUGACUGGUUUGAUG